This 424-nucleotide ribosomal RNA is filed under the name Verrucomicrobiota bacterium. RNAcentral describes it as "Verrucomicrobia bacterium partial 16S ribosomal RNA". It matches the Rfam family "Bacterial small subunit ribosomal RNA", at positions 355 to 776 of the family's 1533-position model. Lineage: Bacteria; Pseudomonadati; Verrucomicrobiota. The record is from RNAcentral.
UGAGGAAUAUUGGUCAAUGGACGAGAGUCUGAACCAGCCAAGUAGCGUGCAGGAUGACGGCCCUAUGGGUUGUAAACUGCUUUUGUUUGGGAAUAAAGUGAGGGACGUGUCCCUUAUUGCAUGUACCAUACGAAUAAGGACCGGCUAAUUCCGUGCCAGCAGCCGCGGUAAUACGGAAGGUCCAGGCGUUAUCCGGAUUUAUUGGGUUUAAAGGGAGCGUAGGCUGUUUGUUAAGCGUGUUGUGAAAUGUAGGAGCUCAACUUUUAGAUUGCAGCGCGAACUGGCAGACUUGAGUGCGCACAACGUAGGCGGAAUUCAUGGUGUAGCGGUGAAAUGCUUAGAUAUCAUGACGAACUCCGAUUGCGAAGGCAGCUUACGGGAGCGCAACUGACGCUAAAGCUCGAAGGUGCGGGUAUCGAACAGG